ACUCCUACGGGAGGCAGCAGUGGGGAAUUUUGGACAAUGGGCGAAAGCCUGAUCCAGCAAUGCCGCGUGAGUGAAGAAGGCCUUCGGGUUGUAAAGCUCUUUUGUCAGGGAAGAAACGGUGAGAGCUAAUAUCUCUUGCUAAUGACGGUACCUGAAGAAUAAGCACCGGCUAACUACGUGCCAGCAGCCGCGGUAAUACGUAGGGUGCAAGCGUUAAUCGGAAUUACUGGGCGUAAAGCGUGCGCAGGCGGUUUUGUAAGUCUGAUGUGAAAUCCCCGGGCUCAACCUGGGAAUUGCAUUGGAGACUGCAAGGCUAGAAUCUGGCAGAGGGGGGUAGAAUUCCACGUGUAGCAGUGAAAUGCGUAGAUAUGUGGAGGAACACCGAUGGCGAAGGCAGCCCCCUGGGUCAAGAUUGACGCUCAUGCACGAAAGCGUGGGGAGCAAACAGGAUUAGAUACCCUUGUAGUCCCA
Molecule: ribosomal RNA, 471 nt
Filed under: uncultured organism
Description: partial 16S ribosomal RNA
Rfam family: Bacterial small subunit ribosomal RNA
Source: RNAcentral